Xyrichtys novacula (pearly razorfish) is the source of this 134-nucleotide non-coding RNA. The record is from the annotation of a GenBank genome assembly. Lineage: Eukaryota; Metazoa; Chordata; Actinopteri; Labriformes; Labridae.
UAUACAUGUAUAUGUGUGUGUAUAUAUAUAUAUACGGAAAUACAUAUAUAUGUGUGUGUAUGUAUAUAUAUAUGUGUGUGUGUGUAUAUAAACACACAUAUACAUAUAUAUACACACACACAUAUAUAUAUACA